Non-coding RNA from Pelobates cultripes (western spadefoot toad), 245 nucleotides. Lineage: Eukaryota; Metazoa; Chordata; Amphibia; Anura; Pelobatidae. The record is from the annotation of a GenBank genome assembly.
CCUAUUUCUAAAAACUGGUGUCAUGGGGGGAAAAUGGGAGCUGAGGGCGUACUUCGUUUUGGUUUGGUCCCAUAUUUGUAUGGAGUUGAGUAUGGCUGGAUUCGCUGUUCUUAAUAUGGCUCUUUGCGUUCUGGGUGCCCAUAUGAAAAAUUGUGGGAGAUCCUGACCCGUCAUCAGUGACUCCAGAUCUACCCAUCGUCUCCUGUCUGGAGGCGUGUGCCACUGUAUCACCUGCAUCAGCUGUG